This 455-nucleotide ribosomal RNA is filed under the name Holothuria arenicola. Its description in RNAcentral is "partial large subunit ribosomal RNA". Lineage: Eukaryota; Metazoa; Echinodermata; Holothuroidea; Aspidochirotida; Holothuriidae. The record is from RNAcentral.
UAUCACGCGUCGCCUGCCAGUGGCAGCUAACGGCCGCGGUAUCUUGACCGUGCAAAGGUAGCAUAAUCACUUGUCUUUUAAUGGAGACUUGUAUGAACGGCGAACCUUUUUCACUGUCUCCCUUUCACCCUUACAAUUUCCUUCUGUGUGAGAGCACAGAUACCUCAGAAGACGAGAGACCCUUGUCGAGCUUUAGCUGCUAAUGAACUUUCACCCACCUAGUCAUCAUCUAAAAGCUUUGGGUGGGGCAACCCCGGAGAAAAAAUCCUCCGAACAAUAGAAGAAAACCUUUCCUAUUAUUAUAACUAUAGAACCGAACUGUGAUUCGAGAAAUUUCCCAGGAUACACCGCACUCCUCUAGAGCCUAUGAGAGGAGGUUGGACUCGAUGUGAUAAGCCCCCUAGUGCGAAAUCUAAUGGUGACUGUCGCCUUAAGCCUCUGUCUGAGUCGACGGG